GUUACUUGUUUAUUUUCAACCUACGCUUCACUAACAAUCAUAUGGAUAUGUUUUUUUCUACAUUGAAUUGAAGAUUUAAAAAAGUUUCCUAGUGAAUACUGAAAAUAAACCUUUUAUUGCAAACGAUGUACACAAGAGAUAUGGCCAAUAAAAUAACAUACAAUCAAAUUUAUUAAAUCAAAAAGGUUUGCCAAAAAAAGAAAAAGCGCUUCGUUAGAUCCUUUUGUGGCGGGCAUAAUUUAAUAUUUACAAAACCAAAUAACUAACCACUAGGAAUAACAAAGUCAAUGAACGCACACACUCGCAGCAACCCAGACAAAUUUAAUGAGAGACUCCGUUGGAGGGAGAAAUAUGUAUUCUGUGAGUGUGCACAAAUUAUUGUCCCGGGAACAUACUAUAUAUGUUAUAUGUAUGUGGACCUAUGCUAUAAAUGAGUCUGACUCUGACUCUGAAUCUGAAUGGAUGAAGGGUGUUGAUUUACAUUUUUGAUUUAUUUUAUUUAUUUAAGCUGAUGACAUCGACUCAUCUUUCACACACACGCAGUGUGCUGGAUUACUUAUCACAAGUUAUACGCAUUUAUUUGUGUUUUUUAUUUAUUUUUGCAAUCUUUAUUUUGUUUUUAUACCCAAACACUUGACUCACUGGAACGGCAUAAUGUAUUGAAGUGAAUCGAAAUUUUUGUCAGGCUCAAAAAAUAUAUUUUAUAUAAAUACUUUAUCAACAACACAAACCAGAUGAUAUCCAUACAUACAUAUGUAUGUAUGUAUGCAGUCAUGCCACUCUGGUAUUUUUUACAGUACUGGGAUAAGAUUUAGAGUGUCCGACACUGGAAACAAUUUCCUCAGAAUACAAAAUAUACAGAGGAUACAAAGCAGAGGAUAGCCUAUAUUUAACAUGAGUGUAGAUAUCUUUUAUAAUGCCGAAAAAUAAUUAUUUC
Molecule: long non-coding RNA, 937 nt
Organism: Drosophila sulfurigaster albostrigata
Lineage: Eukaryota; Metazoa; Arthropoda; Insecta; Diptera; Drosophilidae
Exons: 3
Source: RefSeq, a predicted model, not a curated record